RNAcentral lists this ribosomal RNA (434 nucleotides) under uncultured bacterium. RNAcentral describes it as "partial 16S ribosomal RNA". It matches the Rfam family "Bacterial small subunit ribosomal RNA", at positions 29 to 507 of the family's 1533-position model. The record is from RNAcentral.
AGCGAGCGCUGGCGGCAGGCCUAACACAUGCAAGUCGAACGAACCUUUCGGGGUUAGUGGCGGACGGGUGAGUAACACGUGGGAACGUGCCUUUAGGUUCGGAAUAACUCAGGGAAACUUGUGCUAAUACCGAAUGUGCCCUUCGGGGGAAAGAUUUAUCGCCUUUAGAGCGGCCCGCGUCUGAUUAGCUAGUUGGUUGAGGUAAUGGCUCACCAAGGCGACGAUCAGUAGCUGGUCUGAGAGGAUGAUCAGCCACAUUGGGACUGAGACACGGCCCAAACUCCUACGGGAGGCAGCAGUGGGGAAUCUUGCGCAAUGGGCGAAAGCCUGACGCAGCCAUGCCGCGUGAAUGAUGAAGGUCUUAGGAUUGUAAAAUUCUUUCACCGGGGACGAUAAUGACGGUACCCGGAGAAGAAGCCCCGGCUAACUUCGUG